RNAcentral lists this long non-coding RNA (27286 nucleotides) under Triticum aestivum (bread wheat). Its description in RNAcentral is "long non-coding RNA (TAES_LNC020232)". Lineage: Eukaryota; Viridiplantae; Streptophyta; Magnoliopsida; Poales; Poaceae. The record is from RNAcentral.
UUUUUUUUUUUGUGAGGGCUCCUUGGAUGUUAUUUGUCGAUGAUAUUUUGCUAUCAUGUUUCAUGCCACAAAAUUCCAGAAUUUUGGAAGUUUUUCCUAAUGUUUUCGUAUUUUCUGUUCAUGGGGUGUGUGGGUACUCUCCCUUCUCCUACAAGUUUACUCCAAUACUGGCCAUAGUGACUAAGAAGAAAUUAGAAAACAGAGCAUUAACUGUUGCUUCGACAUAAUUUAAUUAACUUCCAACCGAUCCCACUAGCAUUGGAGUUGCCAGCCCAACAAGAACCAACAACUUCCAACUCAUGUGCAACUAGAAGAGCAUGCGAUUCCAAAACAAAACAAAACAAAAACACUACAUUUUAGAGAAAUUUUGCAUACCAUUAAACAAAUGUCAAAUUACAACACGAAAUCGUGAAAAUCACGAGAAAGAAAGAGAAAAGACGCAUGCCCAAGAACAUAUUCAAGAAAACUUCAUUGAACAAAAAACAGUUGUGUAAGCUUUCGACCACGAUUGACCCCGCAAAAAAUUAAUCCUCUAAAUUGACCGCAGACACAAAGCUUCUCAACUCAUAUUUAUUAAAACAAAUCAGACAAGAUUGGGGUUCAAUUGAACAUAGGAUAUCACUUUACCUCUUUCUUCAUCGACGCAUUUUCAACAAGUUUAGGCUUAGAUUUCACCAGCUCCAGUCGGCAGCCUACCGCACCGCUUGGCAUGAGCGAUUAGCUAUCUUACAAACUAAAGAAGCUGGCAUCGUACCCUACCGCUCGGCAUGAGCGAUUAGCUAUCCUACAAACUGAAAAGGCGACAACCCACCUUACUUUGCAUGCAUGCAUCGGGCUUGAUUCCGUGCAUCACAAGUAGUGGGAAGGGCCAUGACAACAUGGAAGGAGUGCCACACCAGCAACUACACCUUAGAGAAAGGCAGAAGGUGACAGGACAAUUGACAUCGACUAGCUCUUUAUGAGUCACGCUACAUAUCGAAAGCAAAGGUGGGUCGGUUGUGAUCACGCCAGUACGUCUUUUGCUCAUCAGUGCGGACAAUAAAUGACAGUAGGCAUUUAUCUACGGUCCCACGGAUGCAGGGCAUGGGCUUCCAUGCGUCGUGUUCAUCGUGCCUUCGAAUAUCUUUUUUUUUGAAACCGUACACCCGAAGGCAUACGUUACUUGUAUUCAUACGAGUAGGAAAACAGCACAGCCAUGCGAAUACACGUACGAAUACAGAUACAGAAAGACACAAAGGAUACAGGCGGUGUUGUCGCAGCCAGAAAACAAAGCCCCAUACAUAGGGAAAAUAGUCCAUGGAGACCUUCCUCGGAAUUGCAUGCUCCGCGCCCCAAAUCCCUGUUGACGAUGAAUCACUGGAGCAGACGCCAAAUCUUGAGCAAACCUGAAGCAGGAGAAGCUCCUUGCCACAUAGGCGUUGAUGAACCGCAUCAUCCACCGAUUCCAGCAAAUCGGAUCUAAAACCAAAUCAGACAUCGGCCGGAGGCGAUCCCCAUGCCGGGGACGCUCCCCAAGCUGCUCCUGCACCGGAUCCGGGGACGAUGCCAAAUCAGCUCGAAAGAGAUGACCGGAUCCCCCUCCCACAAGCCACCAGCCUUGACAGACUAAGCCGCCCUUGUCCUUGCGCGAAGAGCCGGCACCGCUGGAGAAGGCCGACGAGCCAGACCACCAUCGCGCCAAAAGGCAGGACCCCACAAGCCCCUCGCCAGCAUCUGCCACAAUGCCGACGAGCCGGAGCCAGAGCUGGGGGACAUUAUUUCGAUGGCGCACCGACGAUUGCUCCGUCAAUACAUCGGCGCCGAAAACCGAACCUGGGGACGACGCCCCGCACCUAUAUACAUGCCGCGCCCAGAUCCAAGGUUCCCCUAACCUCCAGCCGCCCUGGGGGCCGCUGGGGGCGAGGGAAACGCUCAGGAGGGCCGGCGGAAGAACGAGCACGCCGGAGUCGCCGCUGAUUCGGCUCCUCUGUACUGUAGACACGAGAAGGGUCGAGAAGUUGGUCUGCCUUCGAAUAUCUUUUAUUAAGGAAGUAGAUUUGUCUGUAGGUUUACGUAGCUAGUCAAGCCCGUAGGUGUGGCAUUUCUGAGCUCUUUAUGGGCUAGAGGUGAGAGGGAGAACAAUAUAAAUGUGAUAUAGAACAAUCGAGAAAGAGAUAAAAUUGUAAAGUGGACCCACACACGUGCAAAAAAGGGGACACGGACGACAAAGUGUGAUUGAGACUCGCCUGCAUCGAUCGACGGUUGUUUACUACUUAUUCAUUCUGUUCAUUUAAUUAAGCUUAUUAGCUAUAUUGGUUGGCAGACCUAUCGCCAAUCACGGUCAAGCUAAAUCCUUUAUAUCAUCAGAAGAUAAAAUAACCUAUUCAAAUCCAUUUUAUUCUCUCCAAAAAACUAUUGAUUUAGUGCCAUCUUCCAGAAAUCAAUACUCUUACCUUUUAUUUUCUAGAACUCGGGUAAAUUAACUUUAUUAUUUUAAAUAAGGGUUAGUGCAUCCACCAAAAGAGGUACAAAAAUGUUGGGAGGAAUGUCCACCCAAAUGCACAAAGCGGAUAUUGUGGUAUGAGUAGUGAGCUCAUGUGCAACUAUGUUGGCUUUGCUCAUACAAUUAUCAAUAUUUGCUUUGAAAUUUCUUCCAUUCAUUAAACAAGGAGCAAGAAAAAAGUUCUAUAUUCAAUAAGAUUAAAUGAUGGUCUAGGAAAAUCUGAGUCAUGUUCUAUAGCCCAAGCGGCAAAGAUUCACUCCAUGGUGGAAACUAUGUGCGCCACCACACACACACACACACAAACCCUUUUUCUGUUGUCAUCAAAACCAACACCUCUACUGGCUCUGGUGGUGGUAUCGGCAUUUCAUCCAGUCCACCGAGGCUAGUCAUAGUACCAUUGCAAUAGUGAACGAUCGAAGAUGUUGACUAGAGAGGGGGCGAAUAAGCGACUACCACUACCACAGAUCGACAUAUUACUGACCCCUCGUCACUAACUUGUCACAAGCCAUGCGACAGUGAUAUGCAUUAACACUAACUGGCGCCAGUGAUGAUGCUUUUGAGGACUGGCUGGGUAGAUAUAAUUGACAUGCCAUUUUUUUGGUCAGUUUGUGAUAACCUGUUCGCGCCAGUUCCAAAAUCUAAAAUCGAUCCAUUAACAACAAUGACUGUGUAAGGGCAUAUUUCUCCCUAAGUGAUUUUGGUGAUUGAUGACAAUGCAUUUGCGGACUAAUCGUGUGCAUUGAGCAUUUCAGAUAUCUCAUGUCUAGGCACAAGACGAUUCGGUGCCCCUCGGAGCCUAUCGAAGAUGGCGUUUCUCUAUGUUUCUUUUCGGUGGAUUUGAGUCGUAGGAAAGUCGUAUUAUUAAGAGGGGGUCCGCUUCGGAAAGGUUAGGAUGGAAUGAACACGUACACAUAUGUUCCUUUGCACCACCUUUCCUUCACUUCAUUGGAGCACCGGUCGUUUUCCCUUAUCUUUGCGAAGAUGAAGGCCUUCAAGUGCUACUACUCCGUGGCGUGUGGUAGUACUGCACAAAGGAGCAGUAGUACCGCAGCGGUCCCCGGUAGUACCGUGUUGGGCCCGCGGUAGUACCGCGUCGUGCGGUAGUACCGCUCCUAGCAAGCGGUAGUACUGUGGCCUCCAGCCCAGUACGCUGGCAUGCACGGAAGUAGGGGCAGAAGUAAUUUUUUACUUCCGCACCCUACGCGGUAGUACCGCUCCCUGUGAACUGUAGUACCGUGCCAGAUUUUCGCACAGACCGAAACUCGGCGGAAGUAGCCAUGGAUAUAAUUUUAUUAGUCCGUGCCUUCCCAGCCCAGAUUGAACCCUGCCUUGCGGUAGUACCGCAAGGGCGCGCGGUAGUACCACUCCAUCGGUUCUACCGCUCGUUGCUAUUCGCAACAGGGCCUCGCCUGGCCCCUGUCGCGCAAGCGGUAGUACCGCAUGUCCUUGCGGUAGUACCGUGUGUAUGUGCGCUAGUACCGCAUGUCGUGGGCUGAGUGAGUGGGUAACGGUUGGAUCUUUCCUCCCACUAUAUAAGAGGGGUCUUCUUCCCCAAGUUGACCAUCUCUUCCCUCCCCAAGCUCCAUUUUCGCCCGAUCUCUCUCCCUAGCCAAUCAAACUUGUUGAUUUUCUAGGGAUUGGUUGAGAAGGCCGCGAUCUGCACUUCCACCAAGAGAAAUUUGAUUCCCCCCACUAAUCCCUUGUGGAUCUUGUUACUCUUGGGUGUUUCAGCACCCUAGACGAUUGAGGUCACCGCGGAGUGCUCCUUUUCCAGCCAGAAUCCCAGCUGCCGACAUUCUCCAUCUUUAUGUAAACCUUGUAAAAUAAGAGAGAAUAGGCAUAAGUAUUGUGACAUAAUAUGUAAUAAUAGCCCAUAAUGCAAUAAAUAUUGAUAUAAAAGCAUGAUGCAAAAUGGACGUAUCAACUCCCCCAAGCUUAGACCUCGCUUGUCCUCAAGCGAAAAGCCGAAAUCGAAAAAUAUGUCAACAUGUUUAGAGAUGAAGGUGUCGAUAAAAAUAAAAUAUGGACAUGAGGGCAUCAUGAUCAUUCUUAGAGCAGCAACUUAUAUAAUUCUUGUCAUAUGAUAUCUUAUGCUAGAGUAAUAAUUCAGUCACAAUAUCAAGUAUGAAUCGUAAACUUCAUUGAAAACUAACAAACUAUAAUCUCAGUUAUUGAAGCAAUUGCAAUUUAUCAUAACAUAGGAAAGAGUCAAUGUAUAAGAGCUUUUCAGCAAGUCCACAUACUCAACUAUCAUAUAGUCUUUCACAAUUGCUCACACUCACGCAAUACUUAUGGGUAUGGAGUUUUAAUCGGACACAGAGAGAGAUAGGGGCUUAUAGUUUUUGCCUCCCAACGUUUUACCUCAAGAGUAAUGUCAACAGUAAUAGUUCAUGAAAACUCACAUCCAAUUAGCCAUAUAUACCAAGAUCUUUCCAACAUAUUGUGCUUGCCAAAGGAUAAAAUGUAAAAAGGAAGGGUGAAGAUCACCGUGACUCUUUUGCAAUAUAGGAGAUAAAAGUAAAGGAUAGGCCCUUCGCAGAGGGAAGCCGAGGUUUUCAUGCGCUUUUAUGGUUGGAUGCACAAAAUCCUAAUGCGAAAGAACGUCACUUUAUAUUGCCACUUGUGAUAUGGACCUUUAUUAUGCAGUCUGUCGCUUUUAUUACUUCCAUAUCACACGAUUGUAUAAAGCUUAUUUCUAUCACACCAAUCAAUCAUACAUAUUUAGAGAGCAAUUUUUAUUGCUUGCACCGAUGACAACUUACUUGAUGGGUCUUACUCAACCCAUAGGUAGGUAUGGUGGACUCUCAUGGCAAAACUAGUUUAAGGGUAUUUGGAAGCACAAGUAGUAUCUCUACUUGGUGCAAUGAAUUUGGCUAGCAUGAGGGAGAAAGGCAAGCUCAACGUGUUGGAGGAUCUAAGACAAUAUAAUUUAUCUCAGAUGUAAGAAAACAUAACCCAUUAUGUUGUCUUCCUUGUCCAAUGUCAACUCUUUAGCAUGUCAUAUUUUAAUGAGUGCUCACAAUCAUAAAAAGAUGUUUAAGAUAGUAUAUUUAUAUGUGAAGACCUCUCUUUCUUUAUUACUUCCUGUUAAUUGCAACGAUGACCAAAACUAUGUUUGUCAACCCUCAAUAACUUUUAUUCAUCAUACUCUUUCUAUGUGAGCUCAUUACUCUCCAUAAGGGUCACAUGAUCUCUUUGUUUCUUUUUAUUUCAUUUUCUUUUCCUUUAUUCACUUAGGAUCAUGGCAAAAAUAAUCAAGCCCUUGACUCAAAACUAAUCUUUAUUAUAUAGCUCACAGACUCGAUUACAUAGAAGGAUAAUAAAGCAAAACUCAUAACUAGAUCAUACUAAGAACUUUUAUUCUACUAGAUCAAGAUAUUACCAAAAGGAUCAAACUAAGAAAAAAUGGUAAAGAUAAAAGUGAUGGUGAUACGAUACCGGGGCACUCCCCCAAGCUUGGCAGUUGCCAAGUGGAGUGCCCAUACCAGAUACUCAAUUCUUCUUUGUUAGAGGAGACGAUGGUGAUUUUGUUGAUGGCGUAGGCUUGUCGUCCUUCCAAGGCAUAGGCUCACCAUCAUAGAAGGAUGACCGAGUCUCCGGGAUCCUCAAAUCUGCAGCCAAACUCAUCCUUUUGAAUCUAUAUUCAUACUCACAGUUUUGAUUUUGCAGGUCAUAGAUCUGAGCUUGAAGGUGCUCGAUUUUCUCGUGAAGCUUGAAGAUGGUCUCCCCAAUAUUGUCGGCAUCCAGCUUGUGUUUGUUGGUGAACUCUGCGAUCAUCAUGUAGUUGGAGUUGAGUCCACGCUCCACCAUCCCCUAACACUUGAAAACUUGUUGCUCCAUUGCUUCGAGCCUCGUCUCCACGCUUCCGUUCCCCUUCGGUCCCUCAGCAUCACGGAUGUGCAGCAACCCAUCACGCAUCUCAAUGGUUUGAGGGUGUCGCUGCACCUCCGCGAGGUAAGGGUUGAUGACCUUCUCGAAGAACUUGUCCUUGGGAGCACUUGGAGACGUCAUGAUAAUCUAGAUCUGUCAGAAAAACAGCUCGAAACAAAGACAUGGGAUUUUUGCGUGAUACGGGAGUCAAAACCCCCGGGAGGUUAUAUAAUGAUUUUUUACCGACAAAAAUACGUGUCCUGUAAGAAAACGGAGUCCGGAGAGCACACAAGGUGCCCACGAGGUAGGGGGCGCGCCCAGGGGGGUAGGGCGCGCCCUCCACCCUCGUGGAGCCCUCGUGUCCUUUCCGGACUGCUGCUUAUUUUUCUAUUUUUCUAAAUAUUCCAAAACGGAGAAAUAUUGCCUUAAAAACUUUGGAGUCGGUUUACUUACCGUACCACAUACCUAUUCCUUUUCAGAGUCUGAAACGUUCCAGAAAGUGUCCUUUAUGUAUUCCUCUGGGGUUACGAUUUCAAUAACAUUGGUUUCAGCAUUUAUGGGAUUACCUGAAAUAUAGUGUUUGAUUCUUUGACCGUUCACCACCUUCGGAUUUGUGCCUUCGAAGUUGUUGAUUUUUAUGGCACUGGAACGGUAGACCUCCUCGAUAACGUAAGGACCUUCCCAUUUGGAGAGAAGUUUUCCUGCAAAAAAUCUUAAACGAGAGUUGUAUAGCAGUACAUAAUCACCUACAUUAAACUCAUGCUUUUGUAUCCUUUUGUCAUGCCAUCUUUUAAAUUUUUCUUUAAAUAACUUGGCAUUUUCGUAGGCCUGGGUUCUCCAUUCAUCAAGUGAGCUAAUAUCAAAUAACCUCUUCUCACCGGCAAGUUUAAAAUCAUAAUUAAGUUCUUUAAUAGCCCAAUAAGCCUUGUGUUCUAGUUUGAGAGGUAAGUGACAUGCUUUUCCAUAGACCAUUUUAUACUUAGACAUACCCAUAGGAUUUUUAUAUGCAGUUCUAUAGGCCCAUAAUGCAUCAUCAAGUUUCUUGGACCAAUUCUUUCUGGACCUAUUAGCAGUCUUUUGCAAAAUUAAUUUGAGUUCUCUAUUACUCAAUUCUACUUGACCACUAGACUGAGGGUGAUAAGGAGAUGCAAUUAUAUGAUUAACAUCAUAUUUAGCAAGCAUUUUACGGAAAGCACCAUGAAUAAAAUGUGAACCACCAUCAGUCAUUAAAUAUCUAGGGACUCCAAACCUUGGAAAGAUAACUUCUUUAAGCAUUUUAAUAGAAGUGUUAUGAUCAGCACUACUAGUUGGAAUAGCUUCUGCCCACUUAGUAACGUAAUCAACAGCAACUAAAAUAUGUGUAUAACCAUUAGAGGAAGGAAAAGGUCCCAUAUAGUCAAAGCCCCAAACAUCAAAUGGUUCAAUAACAAGUGAAUAAUUCAUAGGCAUUUCUUGACGUCUACUAAUAUUACUAAUAUUACCAAUUCUUUGACAUUCAUCAUAAGAUAAGACAAACUUACGGGCAUCUUUGAAGAGAGUAGGCCAAAAAAACCAGAUUGCAGUACCUUAUGUGCAGUUCUAUCUCCAGCAUGGUGUCCUCCAUAAGCUUUGGAGUGACACUUUCAUAGGAUCUGUUCCUGUUCAUGCCCAGGUACACAAUGUCUAAUAACACCAUCUACUCCUUCUUUGUAAAGAUGUGGGUCAUCCCAAAAGUAAUGCCUCAAAUCAUAGAAGAACUUUUUCUUUUGCUGGUAUGUGAAAUUAGGUGGUAUAAACUUAGCAACAAUGUAAUUAGCAUAAUCAGCAUACCAUGGAGCAGUAUGAGAAGUAUUUAUGACAUUUAAUUGCUCAUCAGAAAAGCUAUCAGCAAUAGGCAGUGGGUCAUCAAGCACAUUUUCUAACCUAGACAAGUUGUCUGCAACGGGGUUCUCAGCUCCUUUUCUAUCAACAAUAUGUAAAUCAAAUUCUUGUAGCAAGAGAACCCAUCUAAUAAGUCUAGGUUUAGCAUCUUUCUUCUCCAUAAGAUAUUUAAUACUAGCAGCAUGAUCAGUGUGAAUAGUUACUUUAGAAUCAACAAUAUAAGGUCUAAACUUAUCACAAGCAAAUACAACUGCUAAGAAUUCUUUUUCAGUAGUAGCAUAAUUUCUUUGAGCAUUGUCUAGAGUUUUACUAGCAUAUUGGAUAAUAUUUAGUUUCUUAUCAACUCUUUGUCCUAGAAUAGCACCUACAGCAUAAUCACUAGCAUCACACAUAAUUUCAAAGGGUAAAUUCCAAUCAGGUGGCUGAACAAUAGGUGCAGAGAUCAAUGCUUUCUUAAGUAUUUCAAAUGCUUCUACACAAUCAUCAUCAAAGACAAAUGGUAUAUAUUUUUGUAAUAAAUUAGUCAGAGGCCGAGAGAUUUUUGAGAAGUCCUUAAUGAACCUCCUAUAAAAACCGGCAUGACCAAGGAAACUUCUUAUACCUUUGAUGUCCUUGGGACAUGGCAUCUUUUCAAUAGCAUCAACCUUGGCUUUAUCAACCUCAAUACCUCUUUCAGAAACUUUAUGCCCCAAGACAAUACCUUCAUUAACCAUAAAGUGGCACUUUUCCCAAUUCAAGACAAGAUUAGUUUCUUCACAUCUCUGUAAAACUCGAUCAAGGUUGCUCAAGCAAUCAUCAAAAGAAGAUCCAUAGACGGAAAAGUCGUCCAUGAAAACCUCACAGAUCUUUUCACAAAAGUCAGAGAAUAUAGUCAUCAUGCAUCUUUGAAAGGUAGCAGGUGCAUUACAUAAACCAAAAGGCAUACGUCUAUAAGCAAAAGUAUCAAAAGGGCACGUAAAAGUAGUCUUUGAUUGAUCUUUGGCUGACACAGGUAUCUGAGAGAAACCAGAAUAACCAUAUAGAAAGCAAAAAUGUGUAUGUUUGGAUAUUCUUUCUAGCAUUUGAUCGAUAAAAGGUAAGGGGUAAUGAUCUUUUUUAGUAGCCUUAUUUAAUUUGCGGAAAUCAAUUACUAUCCUAUAACCAGUAAUAAUUCUUUGAGGGAUCAAUUCAUCUUUAUCAUUAGGAACAACAGUAAUUCCUCCCUUCUUAGGGACACAAUGGAUAGGACUUACCCACUUACUAUCAGCAACGGGAUAAAUUAUACCUGCAUCAAGGAGCUUUAGUAUCUCCUUUCUUACCACUUCUUUCAUUUUAGGAUUCAGACGGCGUUGAUGAUCACGAACUGGUUUAGCAUCUUCUUCCAAAUUAAUUUUAUGUUGACAUAGAGUGGGACUAAUGCCCUUAAGAUCAUCAAGAGUAUACCCAAUAGCAGCGCGGUGCUUCUUCAGAAUUUUUAAUAAUCUCUCUUCUUCAUGUUCUGAAAGGUUAGCACUAAUAAUAACAGGAUAUAUCUUUUUCUCAUCAAGAUAGGCAUAUUAAGAGUAUCAGGUAACGGUUUAAGCUCAAACACAGGAUCACCCUUGGGUGGAGGAGGAUCACCUAGGAUUUCAACAGGUAAAUUGUUUUUCAGAAUAGGUUCCUGUUUAAAGAAUACUUCAUCUAAUUCCCUUCUUUCAUUCAUAAACAUAUCAUUUUCAUGGUCUAGCAAAUAUUGUUCUAAAGGAUCACUAGGAGGUACGACAAUAGAAGCAAGACCAAUAAUUUCAUCCUUACUAGGUAAUUCUUCUUCACGGUGUUGUCUACUAAAUUUAGAAAAAUUAAAUUCAUGAGUCAUAUCAUCUAAACCGACAGUAAUGACAUCCCUUUUGUAAUCUAUGGUAGCAUUAACAGUAUUUAAGAAGGGUCUACCAAAUAUAAUGGGACAAAAACUAUAUUGUGGGGAACCAAGAACAAGAAAAUCAGUAGGAUAUUUAGUUUUCCCACAUAAGACUUCAACAUCUCUAACAAUUCCCAUUGGUGUAAUAGUAUCUCUAUUGGCAAGUUUAAUUGUGACAUCAAUUUCUUCUAACUCAAUAGGUGCAAUGUCAUGCAUAAUUUCUUUGUAUAAGUCAAUAGGUAUUGCACUAGCACUAGAAUCCAUAUCACAUAAGCCAUGAUAGCAAUGAUCUCCUAUUUUAACAAAAAUAACAGGCAUGCCUACCACAGGUCUAGGUUUAUCUGUAUCACGGGGUUUAGCAAUUCUAGCAGUUUCAUUACAGAAAUAAAUAACAUGUCCAUCUAUAUUAUCAGACAAGAGAUCUUUAACAAUAGCAAUAUUAGGUUCAACUUUAACUUGCUCAGGAGGUGUAUAUGUUUUAAUAUUGCUUUUACAAACCACAGUUGAAGCUUUAGCAUGAUCCUUUAUCCUAACAGGGAAAGGUGGUUUCUCAACAUAAGAAGUAGGAACAAUAGGAUCAUUGUAAGUGAUAGUAUUUUCUUCAACUUUAAUAGGUGCAGCUACUUUUACGUCUAUGGGAGAAUGAUAUUUAAACCACUUCUCCUUGGGGAGAUCAACAUAAGCAGCAAAAGAUUCAUAGAAAGAAGCUACUAUCUCAGAGUCAAGUCCAUAUUCAGUGCUAAAUUUACGAAAAAUGUCGGUAUCCAUAAAAGAUUGAACACAAUCAAAACUAGGUGUCAUACCUGACUCCUUACCAUUGUCGAGGUCCCAAUCUUCGGAGUUGCGUUUAAUUCUUUCCAAUAAAUCCUAUUUGAAUUCAAUAGUCUUGAUCAUAAAAGAGCCAGCACAAGAAGUAUCAAGCAUGGUGCGAUUGUUACCAGAAAGUCGAGCAUAAAAUUUUUGAAUAAUCAUUUCUCUUGAGAGCUCAUGAUUGGGGCAUGAAUAUAACAUUGAUUUAAGCCUGCCCCAAGCUUGAGCGAUGCUUUCUCCUUCGCGAGGCCAAAAAUUAUAUAUAUAAUUGCGAUCACGAUGAACAAGAUGCAUAGGAUAAAACUUUUGAUGAAAUUCCAAUUUCAAUCGUUUGUAGUUCCAAGACUCCAUAUCAUCACAUAGCCUAUACCAUGUCGAUGCAUCUCCCCUCAAAGAUAAAGGGAAGACCUUGUUCUUAACAACAUCUUCGGGUACACCUGCAAGCUUAAAUAAUCCACAAACUUCAUCCACAUAUAUUAGAUGCUCAUCAGGAUGUUUUGUUCCAUCUCCUAAAAAGGAUUAGCUAGCUGUUUUUCUACCACACCCAAAGGAAUUUCAAAGCAAGCAUUUUCAUUUUCAGUAGGUUAAGUAGGUUGAGGAGAAACUCUUUGCUCUACUGGUCGGGGUGAAGAUACCCCGAACAAGCCCCUCAGAGGAUUACUUUCCAUAAUAACAAGUGACAGUAAAUUUCAGCACACUAUAUAAAUAUUUCCUUACCAAAUUCCACCUACCAAAGGCGCUUCACUCCCCGGCAACGGCGCCAGAAAAGAGUCUUGAUGACCCACAAGUAUAGGGGAUCUAUCAUAGUCCUUUCGAUAAGUAAGAGUGUCGAACCCAACGAGGAGCAGAAGGAAAUGAUAAGCAGUUUCCAGCAAGGUAUUCUCUGCAAGUACUGAAAUAAGUGGUAACCGAUAGUUUUGUGAUAGGAUAAUUUGUAACGAGCAACAAGUAACAAAAGUAAAUAAAGUGCAGCAAGGUGGCCCAAUCCUUUUUGUAGCAAAGGACAAGCCUGGACAAACUCUAAUAUGAUGUAAAGCGCUCCCGAGGAAACAUGGGAAUAUCGGCAAGCUAGUUUUCAUCACGCUCAUAUGAUUUACGUUUGGUACUUUGAUAAUUUGGUAUGUGGGUGGACCGGUGCUUGGGUGCUUCCCUUACUUGGACAAGCAUCCCACUUAUGAUUAACCUCUAUUGCAAGCAUCUGCAAAUACAACAAAAGUAUUAAGGUAAACCUAACCAUAGCAUGAAACAUAUGGAUCCAAAUAGGCCCUUACGAAGCAACGCAUAAACUAGGGUUUAAGCUUCUGUCACUUUAGCAACCCAUCAUCUACUUAUUACUUCCCAAUGCCUUCCUCUAGGCCCAAAUAAUGGUGAGUGUCAUGUAGUCGACGUUCACAUAACACCACUAGAGGAGAGACAACAUACAUCUCAUCAAAAUAUCGAACGAAUACCAAAUUCACAUGACUACUAAUAGCAAGACUUCUCCCAUGUCCUCAGGAACAAAAGUAACUACUCACAAAGCAUAAACAUGUUCAUAAUCAGAGGGGUAUUAAUGUGCAUAUAGGAUCUGAACAUAUGAUUUUCCACCAAUUAAACCAACUAGCAUCGACUACAAGGAGUAAUUAACACUACUAGCAACCUACUAGCACCAAUCCCGGACUUGGAGACAAGAAUUGGAUACAAGAGAUGAACUAGGGUUUUGAGAUGAGAUGGUGCUGAUGAAGAUGUUGAUGGAGAUUGCCCUCUCCCGAUGAGAGGAGCGUUGGUGAUGACGAUGGCGAUGAUUUCCCCCUCCGGGAGGGAAGUUUCCCUGGCAGAACAGCCCCGCCAGAACCCUAGAUUGGCUCCGCCAAGGUUCCACCUCGUGGCGGCGGAGUUUCGUCCGAGAAGAUGGCUUAUGAUUUUUUUCCCAUCGAAAGAGCCCAUAUAGCAGAAUAUGGUCACCGAAGGGCCACCAGGGGGCCCACGAGGUAGGGGCGCGCCCAAGGGGGUAGGGCGCGCCCCCCAUCCUCGUGGGCAGGGUGUGGCCCCCCUGGUGAAGUUCUUGCGCUCAAUGUUUUUUAUAUAUUUGGAAAACAUCAUCCGUGAAGUUUCAGGACUUUUGGAGCUGUGCAAAAUAGGUCUCUAAUAUUUGCUCCUUUUCCAGCCAGAAUCCCAGCUGCCGGCAUUCUCCCUCUUUAUGUAAACCUUGUAAAUAAGAGAGAAUAGACAUAAGUAUUGUGACAUAAUGUGUAAUAACAGCCCAUAAUGCAAUAAAUAUUGAUAUAAAAGCAUGAUGCAAAAUGGACGUAUCACGGAGCCAUAUUCCGUUGCGGUGAAGCUUCGUGGUGUCGUUGGGAGCCUCCAAUUAAGUUGUGGAGAUUGCCCCAACCUUGUUUGUAAAGGUUCAGUCGCGGCCUCCAAGGGCACCAAUAGUGGAAUCACGACAUCUCGCAUUGUGUGAGGGCGUGAGGAGAAUACGGUGGCCCUAGUGGUUUCUUGGGGAGCAUUGUGCCUCCACACCGCUUCAACGGAGAUGUACUUUCUCUCAAAGGGAAGGAACUUCGGUAACACACCCGCGUAUCCACCGGCUCCACUCUUGGUUAUCUCUUACCUUUACUUGUGCAAACUUAUGUUGUGGUGUAUCCCUUGCUUGCUUGUGUGCUUGUUGUUGUUGCAUCAUAUAGGUUGCUCACCUAGUUGCACAUCUAGAGAACCUACUUUGAUGCAAAGUUUAAUUUGGUAAAGAAAAGCUAAAAAUUGUUACUUGCCUAUUCACCCCCCCCCCCUAGUCAACUAUAUCGAUCCUUUCAGACUAGUUAUCAUAAGUACACCAUUUGUAAUACAAAUUAAACAUGGCAUGCCAUAUUUAACGGCUCAUGCAGUGAGCCAGUGAUAAUCUUAGCAUCCCUUUAUAUUCAAUCAUUUUUCCUACCGCCCCCUUGUCGGUGUCAAAACCGGCGGAUCUCGGGUAGGGGGUCCCAAACUGUGUGUCUAAGGCGGAUGGUAACAGGAGGCAGGGGACACGACGUUUACCCAGGUUCGGGCCCUCUCGAUGGAGGUAAUAACCUACUUCCUGCUUGAUUGAUCUUGAUGAUAUGAGUAUUACAAGAGUUGAUCUACCACGAGAUCGUAGAGGCUAAACCCUAGAAGCUAGCCUAUGAUUAUGACUGUUGUUAUCCUUCGGACUAAACCCUCCGGUUUAUAUAGACACCGGAGAGGGCUAGGGUUACACAGAGUCGGUUACAAGGGAGGAGAUCUACAUAUCCGAAUUGCCAAGCUUGCCUUCCACGCAAAAGAGAGUCCCACCCGGACACGGGACAAAGUCUUCAAUCUUGUAUCUUCAUAAUCCAACAGUCCGGCUGUCCGAGGACCCCCUAAUCCAGGACUCCCUCAGUAGCCCCUGAACCAGGCUUCAAUGACGAUGAGUCCGGCGCACAGAUUGUCUUCGGCAUUGCAAGGCGGGUUCCUUCUCUGAAUACUCCAUAGAAGAUUUUGAACACAAGGAUCGUGUCCGGAUCUGCAAAACAAAUUCCACAUACCACCGUAGAGAGUAUAAUAUUUCCACAAAUCUAAUCUGCUGACAACUUUUCAUAACGUGACAUCACGCCAUGGCCCGGUCAUUAUUCGAACCAUUUUUCUCAACCAGCUACUUCACAUAUUGCGAGGCGAUUUUCUUGGCACGUCUUGUCGAAGCAGAGAUCGUGUCCCCCUAUCACGGGAUUCUCAUCAAUACGGGUGUGGGUAACCCAACCGCGCCAUCAAUCACGGCACUUGGGGAAUAAGCAAGUUUACCAGGCAGGUGGGGAGGCGCAUAGUUUCUUCCGCCCUUAUAAAGGGACAAGGACUCCUCCUUUUCACCCAUGCCUUCUUCUUCCCUGCCCAUCCAUUCUCGCGCACUCAAGCUCCAGCGCCCAAGUUCACAUUUCCUCCGCAAAACCACUCCAAACAUGUCCGGAGCGGGAGGCAAGUGGAUGGUCUCCUCUGUUACGGAGGAGAACAUUAUGAAGCUCCGGGAAGCCGGAUACCUGGCCGCAAAUAUCACGCAGCUGCUCCCAGACGCGGGGCAGAUCGUCCCUACCCCCGAACCCCACGAAAGGGUUGUAUUCCUUACCCAUUUCGUCUGCGGGCUGGGAUUUCCCCUCCAUCCAUUUGUCCGUGGGCUCAUGUUCUACUACGGGCUGGACUUCCACGAUCUGGACCCCAAUUUCAUCCUCAACAUAUCGGCGUUUAUCGUCGUGUGUGAGGCCUUCCUCCGCAUCAAGCCCCACUUCGGCCUAUGGCUGAAGACCUUCAACGUUAAACCGAAGGUGGUGGUCGGCCAGCAAACGGAGUGCGGAGGCGCCAUGGUGGGCAAAAUGCCCAAUGUCACCUGGCUCGAAGGCUCCUAUGUGGAGACCGUGAAGGGGUGGCAAUCGGGAUGGUUCUACAUCACCGAGCCACGUGACACCAACUGGGUGGCGGCCCCCGAAUUUUGAUCCGGCAUCCCCACGCGGCUCACCUCCUGAAAAGAGAAGGGCCUAUCCUGGGGUUCAUCGGUGGAGCUGACUGGACUCCAGAACUAUGUUAAAAACAUGAUAAGCAAGAAAAUCAAGCUUGUCAACGUGGUCCAAGUCAUGCUCUUCCACCAGAUCCUCCCGUGUCAAAGAUGGGCCUUCAAUAUGUGGGAGUUCGACCCGGCAAAGCACCAGACGCUGCGAGAGCUCUUCGACACGACACACCAGGACAUCUGGAGGGUGUUGUUCAAGUCCGCCGAGGUGCCUCCUCCCUUUACCGAGGAUCACGGACUCAGUGCAAAGUGCCCUGCCAAUCCGGUAAGCUCCUUAUAUCUCAUAAGAUGUUUCUUUCCCCAGUAUAAUCAUGUGGUGGAUCUAAGCCUCCACGCCAUUUAACAGGAAUGGGUCGCGACAGCGGAGCGGAUCGAUUGUCUGGCCCCACUGCCCGAGGAUCCAGCAGGGGCUCUCUUAAUGGAGAUGCUAGUUCCGGCGCCCUAUGAGGCGCCGGAGAAGAAGGCCAAGAAGAAGGCCGCGGGGACCAGGAAAGGUCUCUGGCGCAAGGUCGUAUCGGACUCAUUGGCCGAUAACAAUGAGGCUCCCUCCUCCCACGAAAACGAGGAGGAGGAAGAGGAAAGUUCUCCCCUCUUGGCCGGGGGAGACAAGAAAAGGAAGGCCGCCCCGUCAGGGGAGGCCGAAGGGUCCAAGAAGGGAAGGACUCUUCUUCCGGACUGCUCCACGGCGGCCGCUUUUAGCGAUGAGGAGUGGUUACCCAGGGAUAAGCCCCUGGCGAAGUCGUAAGUAUCCGGAUAUCAUAGUAGUUCUUGGUAUGUUUUAUUUUAUUGCUUCUUAUCAUGCCAAACAUGAUCAUGCAGCCCAUCCAAAGCCCAUAUCGGCAUAUCCUCAUUGGAUGAGUCUUUGGGCCCGUCGGAGAUGAACAACGAUUCACUCCCGACCGCCUCCUCCCCCCGCCCUACGGACGAUGUCAAGGUGUUGUCUCAGAGGGUGCUGAACCAAGGGGAGACAGUUCCAGAGGCGCCCCAACGCAACAUUUCGGACACUGGGCGCACGAGGGGCAAGACUCCCAUGGGCUCUAAUGCCGGGGGCAGCAAGUCUAAGAGAGACAAGAUGUUUGUGCCGAUGGCCCCUGUCCAUCCAGAGGCAUCGGACAAUUUGCUGGAAGCGCUUCGCGGCGCUUCCAUUAACGAAGAGCACCGCACUAUCAUGAGUGCGGUGGUCAAGAAGGUUCGGUCCACCAAAAGCGGACUGACUGAAGCCUGUGCCAGCCUCCUAACAUGCUUUGAGGUAAGUAAUCAAAUUAUGAGAAAAUGUUACAGCAUAGACAGUAGCCCCUGAUGCUCUGUUUGGUGUUCGGAAGAAAGGCCGAACAGAGGAUCAAAUAAUACUCACAGGAGUCUAAUCAGAAUAUGUCUAUAUGAAUAAGCAGGCUUCACUGCUGGUCGCUGCCGCUCACAUGACGGAGGUCUCCGCACUGAAGCGGGACCUUGAGCGGUCCGAGGAAGAGCUCGGACUUACCAAGAGGCAGCUCGAAGAGAACAAAGGUAAGUGAUACCUCGUCUGUUUAUUGAUAAAGAAAAAGGAAACUGGUUGUUAGAUCACAGGAUCGUCAUGAAUUUUUCUAGGGGCCACGACCGAAGUGGCGACCCUGAAGAAGGCACUGUCCGAGGCCGAAGGCAAAGCGGCCAAGGAGCGCGCCGAGCACGAGAAGCAAGAGGCCUAAGUCGGCGAGGUUCAGCAAGAGCUCCAGGAGUUUGUCAAGAAGUACGAGUCCUUGGAGCGUGACUCUAGGACGCAAGGGUCCGAGCUUGCGAAGGCCCUCGAGAACACACAAAAUGCCAAGUCCGAAGCCCAAAAGGCCCUCCAGGAAAUUGAGGCGGUCAGGAAGAUAGCGGCGGGUAAGGCAUUCUUUAUGCAAAGCAAGCAUGUGAAGGAAACUUUCCUUUUACUUACCUGAAUUCGAAGCUCUCCAGGAGUGUUCGCAGAUCUACCCAGCAGUGUGUCGGAUGCCGCGGAGUUCUACCGGGCCGAGGGAGGGAGCUCGACGGAGAAGUUGUUCUGGUCUCAGUAUACUGGGACUGAACAUCCGAUGCCCUUGAGCGACCAGUUGAAGCAACUGGUCGAGCUUCACAAGGCAGCCGAACUGGCCAUGAAGGGCCUCAUAGUCCGGAUGUGGCCCGGUGAGCCCCUGCCCGGUAGCUAUUUCGGCCUGGUAAGGCGGCUUGUGAACGCUUGCCCCUGGCUUGAAGUCAUAAAGCGGUCCGUCUGCAUUGAGGGUGCGUGCAGGGCUUUUGCCCGGGCGAAAGUGCACUGGGCGAAGAUGGACGCCAAAAAGCUGGUGAAGGAGGGGCCGCCAAAGGGCAAGGACGAUCACCACCCUGAAAAGUAUUAUGACAGUGUCCUGAAGGGUGCUCGCCUUGUGGCAGAGGAAUGUGCUAAGGAUGUGAUAUUUGAAUGAAUGUACUCAUGUGAUCCUAUAAUGUGAAACGAGUUCAUGUGCGCUAUGUAAUGCUUGUUAAUUUAAAAUAUUACCUUCUGUGCGGCCGUUUAUAAAAUUUGAGAGUUGGCUAGUCAUCGGCUUCUGCCCCCAUGUAACUAGUACUGAGGUAUUCGGGAUAAACCUGAUCACUCUUUAUCCCAGUUUUGGGUCCUUCGAAGGAGGUGUUUAACACAACGAACCAGGCAAUCGGACUAUAAAGCUUUAUCACUCUCACUUAGCCAUAAAAGUCUACAAUUUUAAAUUUUGGCGCAGCCCCUAGUAUUCGGAAGGCCGAACUUGGGGCGCUAUGUAUGCCUAAAUCGGACAAGGCCGACUCCUCACCCGAAGCGGAAAAAAUCUUUAAGGAUUUGAGACCUCUCGAACAGCGACCAGCUCUCACCGCAUCAUCACAGUUAGUUUUUGGCUUUCUCUAUUGAGGUGCUCGUCCGAAAGAAUCGGGACAUAAUCACAGUAGUUCUCCCAGUGCUACCUUAGACGAUAUAGCAGAACGUAAGGUACCAAAACAUGGGAACCGGGCAAACCCAACUAUUGACCCAAGACAUGAUUCGGAGCUGAUGUAUAUAAUGCUAUAAGUUCGGGGUGCCGCACUGUCGAAAGUGUUCGGACUUUUCAUGCCGUGUUAUGGGGUAAACUGAAGCCCCUGGCGCACUGGUCGUAUCAGAAUGUACAGGUGCGAUUUGUCGUAAAUAAGCAGACAGGAAAAAAAGGAUAAAGGAAUGCAAUAAUGAGCUAAUGUUGUACAUUGUUAUUUAAAUGAUACAUCAAAGCGUAUGCAUACAUGUAGUGCAAUAAGUAAAAGAUAGGACUAUUUGACAUGUCCUAUCCAAGGUCAAGCUGCGUAUGCAAAACAGGUAUAUCGAUCGUUAUCAGUGACCACCUGAGGAUUCCCUUGUACGUCAUAGCUUCUUGCUUCCUUGGUGUUUCCUUCCCAUGACAGGUCCGAUAAUCAGAUGAUCGGAGAGGGCCUUCAGAGAAUAGGGGCCUGAAAGGAAGAAAAUGUUAAAGGUAUAUGGGUCCUGAAGCGGUUGCGCCGCAUUGUGCUCCGUGCCAUGGCCGUGCCUACGCCUAUGCCCAUGGUAUCUUGAGUGCGUAAUUAUGUACACGCGGCGCAAAUUUCGCCGCUUGACAGGGACUAGGACGGAGGCCGAAUUGCUAGGCGAGCUCUAAACGUGCCUGGCGAUCCUCUUGCAGGCUACUCCACACUCGCUUGAAGGUGUCUGGGGUCUUUUUCGCCGAAUUGGCGGUUUGCCUCAUAAGGCUGCUUUGCGCUUCUGCUGCGUGGGCCGCAGUGUGUUCCUCCGUGCGGAGCGAGUGUUCUGUGUUUCCAUUAACUGUUAUAACCCCGCGAGGUCCUGGCAUUUUGAGCUUGAGGUAUGCAUAAUGUGGUACCGCAUUGAAUCUGGCAAAUGCGGUUCGUCCGAGCAGUGCGUGAUAGCCACCGCGGAAGGGGACGAUAUUGAAGAUUAACUCCUCGCUUCGGAAGUUUUCUGGUGACCCGAAGACCACUUCUAGUGUGAUUGAGCCCGUGCAACAGGCCUCUACACCUGGGAUGACACCUUUAAAGGUGGUUUUGGUGGGUUUGAUCCUCGAGGGGUCUAUGCCCAUUUUACGCACUGUAUCCUGAUAGAGCAUGUUCAGACUUCUGCCACCGUCCAUAAGGACUCGAGUGAGGUGAAAUCCGUCAAUGAUGGGGUUAAGGACCAAUGCGGCAGAACCACCAUGGCGGAUACUGGUGAGGUGGUCCCUGCGAUCGAAGGUGAUCGGACAAGAAGACCAUGGGUUGAACUUUGGGGCGACUAGCUCCAUCGCAUAGACGUCCCUCAGUGCACGCUUCCGUUCCAGCUUGUGAAUAUUGGUUGCGUAUAUCAUGUUUACCGUUUUCACUUGGGGAGGAAAUUUCUUCUGUCCUCCUGUGUUCGGCGGCCGGGGCUCCUCCUCGUUGUUGCUAUGCAGCCCCUUUUCCUUGUUUUCGGAAUUUAACUUGCCGGCCUGUUUGAACACCCAACAUUCUCUGUUGGUGUGGUUGGAUGGUUUAUCGGGGGUGCCGUGAAUUUUACACGAACGAUCGAGUAUGCGGUCCAAGCUGGACGGGCCCGGAUUGCUUCUUUUGAACGGCUUUUUCCGCUGACCAGAUUUAGAGCCACUGAAUCCGGCAUUGUCGCCGUUGUUGCGGCGCUUGUGUCUGUUGCGACGUGGCCUGCCGUUGUUAUCUUUGGCAUCUGAAUUGCCAGGGUUUCUUGAUGUGUUGUUGCUGUGAGCCAGCCAGCUAUCCUCGCCCGCACAAAAGCGGGUCAUGAGUGUCGUGAGGGCUGCCAUAGACUUUGGCUUUUCUUGGCCGAGGUGUCGGGCGAGCCACUCGUCGCGGAUGUUAUGCUUAAAUGCCGCUAACGCCUCGGCAUCCGGACAGUCGAUGAUUUGGUUCUUUUUAAUUAGGAACCGAGUCCAGAAUUUCCUAGCUGAUUCCCCUGGCUGUUGGGUUAUGUGACUCAAGUCAUCGGCAUCCGGUGGUCGCACAUAAGUGCCCUGAAAGUUAUCAAGGAAUGCAUCUUCCAAGUUCUCCCAACUGCCAAUAGAGUUUGCCGGCAAGCUAUUGAGCCAAUGCCGAGCAGGUCCUUUGAGUUUUAAUGGAGGUACUUGAUGGCAUGUAGAUCGUCACCGCGGGCCAUGUGGAUGUGGAGGAGGAAAUCUUCGAUCCAUACCGCGGGGUCUGUUGUGCCAUCAUAUGAUUCAAUAUUCAUGGGUUUAAAACCUUCUGGGAAUUCGUGAUCCAUUACUUCAUCAGUGAAGCAUAGGGGGUUUGCGGCGCCUCUGUGCCGGGCUAUAUCACGAAGCAGUUCAUACGAAUCUUGUCUGCUAUAUUCGGCCCGGCCGGAUUUGCUUUUAGUAUAUCCGGCGUGACGGUCGUCGUCACUCGUUGGGGCGCGCCCCCGUGAUCCGUAGAUCGAUCUUGUAUGUCCUGCUUUGUUUUCCAAUACGUCUCGUAGGUCCUGCGUGUUGCCCCGGGCCUUGGUGUUUUUGUUUGACUGGCGAUGGGGUGUGGGGUGGACUUCAGGCUGAUACGCUGCUUUGUCUCAGCCACGAGGUGGACGGUCAGCUGCAUCAUAUGCUGGUAGUGUAGGCUUUAAUGCUUCCUCCUCGAGUUGGAGUAGCAACCUGCGCUUUGGGUAACUUUUGGUUGGGCGCUCGGGUUCGUAUUCCUCGGUUGCCAGCACCUCGGUCCAUCUAUCCGCUAGUAGAUCUUGAUCAGCUUGAAGCUGCUGUUGCUUUUUCUUCAGGCUUUUUGCUGUGGCUAUAAGUCGGCGCUUGAAGCGCUCCUGCUCGACGGGAUCCUCAGGCACGAUAUAUUCUUCGUCGCCGAGGCUCACCUCGUCAUCGGAGAGAGGCAUGUAAUUAUCAUUCUCUGAUUCUUUGUCUGCCGCCUGUUCCUUAGGGCUAGCUUGCCCAUCCUCCCGCUCGAAGCUUGGUUGGAGGGGAUUGUCUUCGGCACUGUCCGCAACGUUAUUGUCUCUUGUGCCGGUAUCGCUGCUUUUGCUAUGGCGGGGCUUAGAGCGGCGCCGAUGACGCUGGUGCUUAGAUUGCUUCUCGAGGGGAUUAUCCUCCGUUGCCUUAUUGCCAUCGCUUUCUUUGGGGGUGUCGACCAUAUAUAUAUCAUAUGAUGAGGUGGUUGUCCAGCGCCCUGUGGGCGGUGGUUCCUGUUCUUCUCCUGCAUCAUCGUCCAUACCGUCGAUGUCUUCGGAGUCGAAAUCAAGCAUGUCGGUUAAGUCGUCGACAGUGGCUAUUAAGUGUGUGGUGGGUGGGGAAUGAAUCUCUUUGUCGUCCGCUUCCCACUCAAGCCGGACAUAGUUCAGCCAAGGGUCUCCUGACAAGGAGAGAGACCUCAAUGAAUUUAGCACGUCGCCCAAGGGCGAGUGCUGAAAGAUAUCCGCGGAGGUAAACUCCAUGAUCGGUGCCCAAUUAGAUUCGAUAGGCACGGACGUAGGCGGUUCAGAGCCUGUGGCCGGGGACGAAUCCAAGGGUCUGGCAACACGGGUCUCGUAGGAGGUGAAGUCAGUAUUCGGCUCUAUUGCCGCUGAGUGUGUGGCCUCCAUGGCGGGGUCCAUCCACCCAUCCUCGGACGGCACGAUCUGCUCCAGAUUGAGGGCCAGAGUAGCCACAGGUGUGAUCUCCCGAACACCGUCCGACGGCAGAGCUAAGUCACGCUCGUCGUGACUGUGCGACGCACCUGACAUGGGCUCGAAUCCGUCGAAGAUCAAGUCUCCGCGGAUGACGGCAGUAUAGUUCAAGCUUCCAAACCUGACCUGAUGGCCAGGGGCGUAGCUCUCGAUCUGCUCCAGAUGGCCAAGCGAGUUGGCCCGCAGUACGAAGCCGCCAAACACGAAGAUCUGUCCCGGGAGAAAAACCUCACCCUGGAUCGCAUCGUUGCCGAUGAUCAAAGGAGCCAUCAAAUCUUACGGUGACGACACAAUGGAACUCUCAAUGAAAGCACCAAUGUCGGUGUCAAACCGGCGGAUCUCGGGUAGGGGGUCCCGAACAGUGCGUCUAAGGCGGAUGGUAACAGGAGGCAGGGGACACAACGUUUACCCAAGUUCGGGCCCUCUUGAUGGAGGUAAUACCCUACUUCCUGCUUGAUUAAUCUUGAUGAUAUGAGUAUUACAAGAGUUGAUCUACCACGAGAUUGUAGAGGCUAAACCCUAGAAGCUAGCCUAUGAUUAUGAUUGUUGUUGUCCUACGGACUAAACCCUCCGGUUUAUAUAGACACCGGAGGGGGCUAGGGUUACACAGAGUCGGUUACAAGGGAGGAGAUCUACAUAUCCGAAUUGCCAAGCUUGCCUUCCACGCAAAGGAGAGUCCCACCCGGACACUGGACGAAGUCUUCAAUCUUGUAUCUUCAUAAUCCAACAGUCCGACUGAAGGAUAUAGUCCGGAUGUCCGAGGACCCCCUAAUCCAGGACUCUCUCACCCUCCAUCCUCCACUUUAAAGCCUAUGGUUGUUGCGUCGAGCCUAGCGAUUAGUGUCGGUCGUCCCAUGAUGCCUCCCGUCGCUCCUCUACCUCCCACCAGACCCUCCAAUCGCUCCAUCUACUCCCUCCUCUCCAUCCUGAUGGGUCGGCCUAGAUCAUCUUCACACCUACGCUGUAUUCCUAACUCUACGGCACCCUCCCGCCGUAUGUGACAUCGUCGACGAUGCCAAGGUCGGCCAACCCUCACAACCCCACCUACCCAUGGUGGUCGUGGUCUUGUAUUGUUGGGUCGUCGACGUUGGUGUGCGAUGUCGUAGUUCUAGCAUUUCCACCAACAUCUUUGGUCACGGCAGUGGCCACACUGGUGAGCUCCUUUCCCUCUUGUUGAUGAGAAAUAUAUUAUAGUUUUGUUCCAAACAUAAUCUUGUAUGUCAUGUUUGUUAGGAGUUUGCUAUAGUAUUAUGGUAUGAGAGUAGUAUAAAUAGUUUGUUAGGGAAGUUUGAAGUAGUAUGUUAGGAUAUACUCCCUCGGUCCUCAAAUAAGUGGAUGUUUAGCAUUUCAAAUUUGUCCACAAAAGAGUGUAUUUAUUUCUUCUCAAUGCAUUUUAAAGUAGAAAAAAAUGUUUCUUUCUCAUCACACAGAAAUCAAGACCAAUAGCAUUCAAUACAUGGUCCACUUAUUUGAGGACAGAGGGAGUAUGUUGUAGCGACAUAUACAGAUCUAUAGAAAGUUGUGAUCUAUUAUGAUUAGAAAGUAAGACAAUGCUAGUGUGCAAAGUAAAUAGUAAUGCAUGGAUAUGUUUCAUUCCCACAUUUCAUGUGUAUGCAUGUUAUUUCUCAUUUGCCAUUAACUUAGCAAAGCCUAUAUAUGUAUGAUAUUAUAUACAGAAAAUUAAUAUAUUGUUUAUUUUAUAUGGACAACGGACAGACACAAAUAGUUGCAGUUGUGACCUUUUAGUGUACUGCAUAAUACACAUUUUCUGUAAGAGUGUUUUGUGCAAUGCACCUAAAAUGAUACAUUGGUGAUGUUACUCUAUUUUAGAUGCACUACACAAAAUAAGGUAGUUGUAUGUAUCAUUUCGACCGCUAAUCUGAAAAAUCGAGGGGCAUUUCCAGUGUGUUGAAGGACUCAUUCAAAUGUCAGAUUAGCACUUGCGGUAUUGCUGAUUCUUCGACAAGACUCAUCUACUCGUAGAUCAAUACAUUAACACUUACUUGAAUUUAUAGCCCUAAACAUUUGGACAUGUAUGUGUGAAAUGAAAUGCAAUUUCGUUGUAUGUGCCUAUGUAUUGUGCAUGUGUAUAACUUUCUACCUUAGUGCAUCUUGGGGCUUCACCACUAGCAGAUUGCUAAUCGUGGAGACCCAAUUUGCUUAAGCCAAAUUUCAUUAUCAAGGAUCUUGGGGCUUUUAGAAUGUCAAAAUAAUGGAGGAGUGAGAGUGGACUAGUCUAGUUCGCAGUUAGGAAGAAGGAUCCUUUACAAGAUACCUCCAAAAUCUGACCUUUAUGUCGCAUAAUGUACAGCCUGGAGGGUCCGAGCUGACCUAGAGGUUCAGGAGCAAGCUUUGGGAGAGGUUUCGGGCAAGUCUAGAGUGAUUCUGGACAGGUCCGGAGGCCCAUCCAGCAGUCUACCUGGAGGUGUCGGGCUGCACUACGUCCAAAUUCUAGGCGACAUCAAAUGUGUACUGACCUCAGCCGGAGGCUCCGGGCUAGGUUGGGGGGCAACUAGAGGCAGCACACAUAGAGUUUUAGAGGGGCUCUCUCAUGCUUUUGCAUAGGUUUUGGGGUGAUAUGUUUUGCAUAAGUAUUGUUGAUUCCCAAGAUCAUCCAAAGCAUCCCAUGUAUGUUUUUCUUCCAUUGCACUAAACCGUUGUGUAUACACCUAAGCACAUGGUUAGACUACUAACCAUCUUGUCAUUAACACAAAAACUCUCAAGGGGGGCAUAUAUGUCCUUACAGAUAGAAAGUCACUGGAGUGAGAGGAAGAGGCUCCAUGCAGUGUGCAGGUCAAAAAAAUGUAUUGUGUUAUGAAGCGAAGCCAGGUCUAGAGCACGGUGGUCGCCAAGGAAGAUGGUCAUGAAUGCACUACCGACAGUUGUGACAUGAGAUAACAAUCAUGCCAGCACGUCCUAAAGUUGAAGUAGAUGUUAUGUGUACUGUUUGGGGGCCAAGAAAGCACAUGCGGCAAAAUGGGAAGAAGCAUAGGAAAAUUGUCAAAGAAACAAAGGUAAAGAAAGAUGUUGAAUAUUGUUGAAUGAAACCAUCAUGAGGUAAUGAGAAAUUAGAAGAUGUUGAACACUAUACCAAUGUGAUGACAAUCAUGCUAGGAAGUCAUCGGAGUUGGACAAAGAUAGCAGAGCAUGUUGGUCAUCAAGAGAGGAAGGUGCAUGAAGAUCACAAUAUUUCGCAUGACAAUAUCUGAAGCCACAUCCAUGCCUUACUUGACAAGUAUAUUCGUGUGAUGCAAGCUUCUUUAUCCCGUGUAUGACCAUUUUGUUGUUCCAUAGCGACAUGCGGGUAUCUUGCUAAUCACAAUAACCAAUAUGCAUGGUCGCAAUGAAAAGUAUAAAACCAUGCAACGAUGGAAAACUUAUAAUGAGCUUAUGCAACAAAAAUCAUAGGUGAUACCAACAAGAUCGGACUAUCAACAUAGCAAAAAGAAAGUUCAUUGUGGCAAAUCAAAGAUGUACUCCCACAACAUCAACAAAUGCAAGAAAAAUCUUGCAUGGCUGUAACAAUUAAAUUACAUGUGCAACAACUAUGAAUCACCAUGUGUUCAAACAUCACUGGCACAAAAUAAACCCUAAAAAUUGAUGGGUAAAAAAAUGCUCAUACAUAAUAUCAUUGUCCACUCGGCUCAACACAGAAUUCCAAGGGAGUCAUGUGUCAACCACUUUCCUAACGGCCUAAACAUCUUGGCUGAGCCAUCACAAUCAAGAGCUUGAACCAUAUGGGUUGUCGAGGGGAGACUUGGCGGCAGGAAAGGAAGGCAAAUAUUUUCAGCAUGCGUUUUGGUGUGAACGCACUAUGAACAUGUCGAUUAGUCAUAUCUCCUACAUUCCUGACCGCGGCUCGUGCAGAGAUUUUGUUUCUUUGACUUUAUAAGAACUUAGUUGUAGUUUUCUUGUUUUUUAAGAUGUAUUGUACCAUUAGAAGUUUGACAGUAUCAAUCCAGGGCCUCAUUCGAAAAUCCCCCAAAAAAAAAACCUCUUGUAUGUGCAUCGUCCAGCAAAGACUACCAUUCUCCUGCGACGAAAAGUUUUGGAGUGAAUUUUGUAUUUCAUUUCAAAAACCGCCUAAAUCACCAUUCUACAAACCUAUACGUUGAUAAUGUGCUACUACCUCCAUUUCUAAAUAUAGGUCUUUUUAGAUAUUUUCCUAAGGACUACAUACGGAUGUAUAUAGACAUAUUUUAGAUUGUAGAUUCCCUCAUUUUGCUCCGUACAAGUCCAUAUUGAAAUCUCUAAAUGGGCAUAUACUUAGGAACAAGUCCAUAUUGAAAUCUCUAAAUGGGCGUAUACUUAGGAACGGAGGCAGUACUUUGGAAAUCCAAAGAGAUGCGGCUUUGCUUGAAAUGUUGUUCUCAAAUGGUUUAUCCUCGGGUGUAAGUUUUAAACUAUUGCUACUGGGAUGUUUUUACAACAGUUUAUCCCAGUUGAAAACCACAUACAGUCAGACACCCGCAAAAAAGAACAUUCUAGAUUGUGGCCAUAUACAAUGUCAGACAGUUUCAGUAAGGUGCUUGAAAUGACAGUUGGAUUACAAAAGGGAUAUUUGAAUGGAAAUCAAUAGUGAAGAAUUUCUCAACAACACAGUAGACUGUAAGGCUAACUAGAUUGUUACAGAACAGCUCCACGCACCAUUGAAGUCCCUUCCGUUUCUGCAUUUGCAGAAGAAUGGUGACAUACAUUUGUACAACCAGGGCCUGUUCCAUCUCUUCUUUUGCAAAGAGAUUUCAUGCUAAGCCCGUCCCUGAAUGGAGACAAUGAAGAUCCCCUUCACGGCCCACCAAAGGCAAAAAGAAAGAAAACUAAAAUCUAUAACCUGGAAUAAAAUUGCAACAUAACGUGUCAGACAAGCAGUGUCCCCAAGCAACUAAACAGUGGUUUCUUCAGACGAAGUGGAUUGAAAGAUGUACCAUUAAAAUUGUCAGGAAUUAUCCCUCGUCUGGAAACCAUUGUACUGUUAAUCUGCCAUGAUAACACAGCUUGAGCAUGAAACCAGGAACGUGCAGAAAACAGAUGCAGUGGGGGCUGCUAUCAUUUCAUUCUUAUCAUAAAAAAAGUGUGAGGAGUACCGCAGAUGAGGCUCAGUAUGGUCGAGACACAAAGCUUCUGCGGCCCUUCAUCUAUGGAAUCUAUCAUUAUUGUGUCUUCCGUGCCUCCUCCAACCUGAUUUUGCAAUGAAGAUUAACACAUUCGUCUUGCAAUGUUGCUACAACC